UCUACAGCCAUACCGCCCUGAACAUGCCUGAUCUUGUCUGAGCUCAAAAGCUAAGCAGGUUCGGGCCUGGUUAGUACUUGGAUGGGAGAAUGUAUUACAUUUAACUCUUGAUAGCAAGAACACAGGGAAACAGAA
This is a ribosomal RNA of Mesocricetus auratus (golden hamster), 135 nucleotides long. The record is from Ensembl. NCBI's taxonomy places the organism in Eukaryota, Metazoa, Chordata, Mammalia, Rodentia, Cricetidae.